Molecule: ribosomal RNA, 496 nt
Filed under: uncultured bacterium
Lineage: Bacteria
Description: partial 16S ribosomal RNA
Rfam family: Bacterial small subunit ribosomal RNA
Source: RNAcentral
GAUGAACGCUGGCGGCGUGCCUAAUACAUGCAAGUCGAGCGAACAGAUGAGGAGCUUGCUCCUCUGACGUUAGCGGCGGACGGGUGAGUAACACGUGGAUAACCUACCUAUAAGACUGGGAUAACUUCGGGAAACCGGAGCUAAUACCGGAUAAUAUAUUGAACCGCAUGGUUCAAUAGUGAAAGACGGUUUUGCUGUCACUUAUAGAUGGAUCCGCGCCGCAUUAGCUAGUUGGUAAGGUAACGGCUUACCAAGGCAACGAUGCGUAGCCGACCUGAGAGGGUGAUCGGCCACACUGGAACUGAGACACGGUCCAGACGCCUACGGGAGGCAGCAGUAGGGAAUCUUCCGCAAUGGGCGAAAGCCUGACGGAGCAACGCCGCGUGAGUGAUGAAGGUCUUCGGAUCGUAAACUCUGUUAUUAGGGAAGAACAAAUGUGUAAGUAACUAUGCACGUCUUGACGGUACCUAAUCAGAAAGCCACGGCUAACUACGUG